This 305-nucleotide ribosomal RNA is filed under the name uncultured bacterium. RNAcentral's name for it is "partial 16S ribosomal RNA". It matches the Rfam family "Bacterial small subunit ribosomal RNA", at positions 508 to 807 of the family's 1533-position model. The record is from RNAcentral.
ACAGCAGUAGCCGCGGUAAAACAGAGGGUGCAAGCGUUAAUCGGAAUUACUGGGCGUAAAGCGCGCGUAGGUGGUUCGCCAAGUUGGAUGUGAAAUCCCCGGGCUCAACCUGGGAACUGCAUCCAAAACUGGCGAGCUAGAGUAUGGUAGAGGGUGGUGGAAUUUCCUGUGUAGCGGUGAAAUGCGUAGAUAUAGGAAGGAACAUCAGUGGCGAAGGCGACCACCUGGACUGAUACUGACACUGAGGUGCGAAAGCGUGGGGAGCAAACAGGAUUAGAUACCCGGGUAGUCCCUGUCUCUUAUAC